UUAACUCAAAUUUGUACGGAGUUGGAACGUUUGCCUACGUUUACCGCUAGGGGCGCUGAUCCUACUCGAUACAAAUUUGAGUUA
This 84-nucleotide microRNA precursor is filed under the name Bombyx mori (domestic silkworm). RNAcentral describes it as "mir-2807 microRNA precursor family". It matches the Rfam family "mir-2807 microRNA precursor family". The record is from Rfam by way of RNAcentral. Lineage: Eukaryota; Metazoa; Arthropoda; Insecta; Lepidoptera; Bombycidae.